This 406-nucleotide ribosomal RNA is filed under the name uncultured bacterium. RNAcentral's name for it is "partial 16S ribosomal RNA". It matches the Rfam family "Bacterial small subunit ribosomal RNA", at positions 29 to 526 of the family's 1533-position model. The record is from RNAcentral.
AUUGAACGCUGGCGGCAGGCCUAACACAUGCAAGUCGAGCGAGCGGCGGACGGGUGAGUAAUGUCUGGGAAACUCCCUGAUGGAGGGGGAUACCUACUGGAAACGGUAGCUAAUACCGCAUACCAUCAGAUGUGCCCAGAUGGGAUUAGCUAGUAGGUGGGGUAACGGCUCACCUAGGCGACGCUCCCUAGCUGGUCUGAGAGGAUGACCAGCCACACUGGAACUGAGACACGGUCCAGACGCCUAGGGGAGGCAGCAGAGGGGAAUAUUGCACAAUGGGCGCAAGCCUGAUGCAGCCGUGCCGCGUGUGUGAAGAAGGCAUUCGGGUUGUAAAGCACUUUCAGCGGGGAGGCGUUACCCGCAGAAGAAGCACCGGCUAACUCCGUGCCAGCCGCCGCGGUAAUAC